UGUGGUAUAAUGAAGAGCAUCCUCUGUGCCUUAUACUUGGUCUGAAACCAUAUUGGUUUUUAGAUCAUAAUAUGUAUUCAUCCAACAAAGUUCUUCUAAAAUGUAUCUAUUAAUAUUACAUUCAGUCGAAAAACCAAAUGAAAGACCUAAUUGAUCAAAAUGUCGAAAAAUUAAAUACAUACUACAAACCUAAUUAUGUAAAAAUCAGAAAAAACU
Cinara cedri is the source of this 216-nucleotide non-coding RNA. Lineage: Eukaryota; Metazoa; Arthropoda; Insecta; Hemiptera; Aphididae. The record is from the annotation of a GenBank genome assembly.